GAAGUUAUAGUCAACCACUGACAUCUGACCUGCAAUCAGAAAGUACCUUACUUAGGUUAACUUUA
RNAcentral lists this transfer RNA (65 nucleotides) under Alpheus japonicus. Its description in RNAcentral is "tRNA-Ala". The record is from RNAcentral. RNAcentral also lists the same sequence under 1 other name. Lineage: Eukaryota; Metazoa; Arthropoda; Malacostraca; Decapoda; Alpheidae.